GCCCUGUACAAAAACCUAAUGACUUACAACUUUCAGCGGUGGAUGUCUAGGUUCCCACAACGAUGAAGAACGCAGCGAAAUGCGAUACGUAAUGCGAAUUGCAAGACCUCGUGAAUCAUUAAGAUUUUGAACGCACAUUGCGCUUUCGGGAUUUUCCCGGUAGCAUGCUUGUCUGAGUGUCUGUGGAU
RNAcentral lists this ribosomal RNA (188 nucleotides) under Pseudo-nitzschia decipiens. RNAcentral's name for it is "5.8S ribosomal RNA". The stretch from base 28 to 182 matches the Rfam family "5.8S ribosomal RNA". From Rfam's summary of the family: 5.8S ribosomal RNA (5.8S rRNA) is a component of the large subunit of the eukaryotic ribosome. It is transcribed by RNA polymerase I as part of the 45S precursor that also contains 18S and 28S rRNA. The record is from RNAcentral. Lineage: Eukaryota; Bacillariophyta; Bacillariophyceae; Bacillariales; Bacillariaceae.